Molecule: small RNA, 132 nt
Filed under: Citrobacter freundii
Lineage: Bacteria; Pseudomonadati; Pseudomonadota; Gammaproteobacteria; Enterobacterales; Enterobacteriaceae
Description: RtT sRNA
Rfam family: RtT RNA
About the family: This family represents a bacterial cis-regulatory element known as RtT RNA. The exact function of RtT is unknown although it is thought that it may be involved in changing the cellular response in relation to amino acid starvation.
Source: RNAcentral
UAUUCUUCCUAUUCGGGAAGGAUGAGAAGCUUCGACGAAGGUUCGAUUCGAGCGUUAGCGAGAAAGCGUUGCCGUAGGCAACGACCCGAAGGGCGAAGCGCGCAGCGCUGAGUAAUCCUUCCCCCACCACCA